Molecule: unclassified non-coding RNA, 395 nt
Filed under: Trueperella pyogenes
Lineage: Bacteria; Bacillati; Actinomycetota; Actinomycetes; Actinomycetales; Actinomycetaceae
Description: partial 16S-23S ribosomal RNA intergenic spacer
Rfam family: Bacterial large subunit ribosomal RNA (bases 210-395)
Source: RNAcentral
UCUAAGGAGCUCCUGUUUUGCUUGUGAUCGUGGUGGUUAUGAGUGUUGUGGGGGUUUUUAGUGGUUGGCAACAUUGGAGUUGGCAUGCUGUUGGGGUGUGGGGUAACGCCUUGGCUGCCUGCGCGUGGGCCUGCUUGUGUGGUGGGUUUGUGUGUGGUGUUGGUGUGGUGGUUGAGAAUUGUAUAGUGGAUGCGAGCAUCUUUUGGUUUUUGUAAGUGUGUAAGGGCGUUCGGUGGAUGCCUUGGUACACGGAGCCGAUGAAGGACGUUGUAGCCUGCGAUAAGCCUCGGGGAGUUGGCAUACGAGCUGUGAUCCGAGGGUGUCCGAAUGGGGGAACCUGCCUGGAGUUGUUUCUGGGUACCGUCAUCUGAAUGUAUAGGGUGAUUUGGGGGUAA